RNAcentral lists this non-coding RNA (24 nucleotides) under Cricetulus griseus (Chinese hamster). The record is from RNAcentral. Lineage: Eukaryota; Metazoa; Chordata; Mammalia; Rodentia; Cricetidae.
GUUGGAAUUCAGAGCAUUGCUCUU